GAGUUAUUGCAUUGUUUGUGAUUUGUACACAAUUAGAAGAGGCGGCUGAAGCAGGUGCUACGGUGCAACUACGAUUGUUGUUGAUUGUCCUUUACUAACACGAAUGGGGUACUUGCAAGGAUCCAUUGGAUGACGCUGAUGAGUCAUAGUGGCCCCUAUGUUGGGUUUGUGGCGUAUUUGACAUCAGCUAGCAUACUUGUUUUCGUAAUUAAUACAUUGUUGGUUUCUACGUUUCUGUAUCUUCAUAAAUCAUUUAUGUUGUUUCUGCUUUACAAAGCAUCAUUCGAAAUUCCUUCAUUAUGUGGGUAUUGCAUUCAGGUUCUUUCUAUAGCCCUUUUGGUUUGAUUCUUUUUUCUUAUUGUUCUUCUUCAAGAUAGGAGUGGGUGUUUGUUGUUGGUUAAACAUAUUGUCUUUGUUUUCGUUUGGAGGGAAGUAUCUUGGCCAACAAUGAACCCCAAUGCCUUGUAUUGAGGAUCUUUGCAAUCUAUCAUAAUCUUCAUGAUUUGACUGAGGAUAAUAUGGUUGACAAAGGUUGAGGGUUCUUUUUUCUUUUGCAUUCUUGAACGGUUAACUUUAUAUUCAACGCACGUGGGAUGCCCCAAAUAUUUUAAGGCCAUGAACAGGGUCUUACCUUACAUUAAUCUCAGUGAAGAGGUGGUGGAGCAGUCCUUUACCACUAUAUACAUCUAACGAGGACAUCACAAAAUAUAUCUAAGGUGGUCUUAUUGGGGGUUUCACCUUCUCCUGGAUUUCUUUCUUCUUCAUUGAAAUGUUGCUCGAUUACCCUAUAUAUCUAAGGUUGGGAACGUUGAACUAAGGACCUAG
Molecule: long non-coding RNA, 825 nt
Filed under: Medicago truncatula (barrel medic)
Lineage: Eukaryota; Viridiplantae; Streptophyta; Magnoliopsida; Fabales; Fabaceae
Description: long non-coding RNA (MTRU_LNC006047)
Source: RNAcentral